Molecule: ribosomal RNA, 484 nt
Filed under: uncultured bacterium
Lineage: Bacteria
Description: partial 16S ribosomal RNA
Rfam family: Bacterial small subunit ribosomal RNA
Source: RNAcentral
AUUGAACGCUGGCGGCAGGCCUAACACAUGCAAGUCGAGCGGAUGAAGGGAGCUUUCUCCUGGAUUCAGCGGCGGACGGGUGAGUAAUGCCUAGGAAUCUGCCUGGUAGUGGUGGAUAACGUCCGGAAACGGGCGCUAAUACCGCAUACUUCCUGAGGGAGAAAGUGGGGGAUCUUCGGACCUCACGCUAUCAGAUGAGCCUAGGUCGGAUUAGCUAGUUGGUGGGGUAAAGGCCUACCAAGGCGACGAUCCGUAACUGGUCUGAGAGGAUGAUCAGUCACACUGGAACUGAGACACGGUCCAGACUCCUGAGGGAGGCAGCAGUGGGGAAUAUUGGACAAUGGGCGAAAGCCUGAUCCAGACAUGCCGCGUGUGUGAAGAAGGUCUUCGGAUUGUAAAGCACUUUAAGUUGGGAGGAAGGGCAGUAAGUUAAUACCUUGCUGUUUUGACGUUAACAACAGAAUAAGCACCGGCUAACUUCGUG